This 253-nucleotide ribosomal RNA is filed under the name uncultured bacterium. RNAcentral describes it as "partial 16S ribosomal RNA". It matches the Rfam family "Bacterial small subunit ribosomal RNA", at positions 524 to 776 of the family's 1533-position model. The record is from RNAcentral.
UACGUAGGGGGCUAGCGUUGUCCGGAAUCAUUGGGCGUAAAGAGCGUGUAGGCGGUCCGGUAAGUCCGCUGUGAAAACUCGAGGCUCAACCUCGAGACGUCGAUGGAAACCAUCUGGCUAGAGUCCGGAAGAGGAGAGUGGAAUUCCUGGUGUAGCGGUGAAAUGCGCAGAUAUCAGGAAGAACACCCGUGGCGAAGGCGGCUCUCUGGUACGUGACUGACGCUGAGACGCGAAAGCGUGGGGAGCAAACAGG